GCCAGUGUGGUCUAAUGGUUUGAGUGUUGGACCAUUACUCUGGAGACCAGGGUUAAAAUCCCUGCUUGGCCA
Non-coding RNA from Phrynosoma platyrhinos (Desert horned lizard), 72 nucleotides. The record is from the annotation of a GenBank genome assembly. Lineage: Eukaryota; Metazoa; Chordata; Lepidosauria; Squamata; Phrynosomatidae.